CCUCCCGCUCCCUCGGGAGUAGCCUAGUCGAACGUGCGAAGGUGGUAACGCCUUGGUGCGAAGCUUCGACAACAACGUACCGGCCCCUUUCAGGGGACAACCGAACCGUGAGGAACGGUUGAGGACUGCGAGCAUCGCGCGGGUCCCGGG
This is a non-coding RNA of Leptospirillum sp. Group IV, 150 nucleotides long. Lineage: Bacteria; Pseudomonadati; Nitrospirota; Nitrospiria; Nitrospirales; Nitrospiraceae. The record is from Rfam.